GUCAUUUUCGGACACGAAAUAGAAACCUUUAAAUUUCAAUUUUAAAUUAGAAUAUAAAUUAAUCAUAAAUUUUAUUUAGUGUAAAAAUAUUAUUAGAGGUUAGGAGUUAAUUAAUUGUGAUUAUAUUAUUAAGUGGAAAUUAGUAAUUAAUUAAAUUAAUUAAAGUUAAUUACAAAAGUGGGCCCCACCCGAAAUAAAUAAAAAAAAAACACAACUAGAUGACACAUUAGGGGGCACGUGUAGGGACCAAGGAACAAGUAUAUAUGUGAACAAGAUGAUUCACAAAUCAUCAAGGCAACAUUUCAUUUGAAUUAGCACAAAAAAAAAAGGAGCAAGAAUAUUGCCAUGGCUGCCAACCUCUCGGCCAGCCAUGGCUGUUGGGAAAAAAUAUUUUGUUCCUUGUUUUGAUUAAUUUUCAAGUGUGGUACAAAUUCAAGGAGGUGAUAGCAACAUUGGAUUUUAAGUUGGAGAAGAAGAGAUUGCGAAAUUGGAGCAAUUAAGAGUAGAAAUUCCUCCGAGAAAAUUAAGGCUAAAAGAGCGACGAGGCGAACGGGUUUACGAAUAGCCGUCAACAGGUGCAGAUACUCGCUUUGGUGAUCCGCCGUCUUAGGACUCCCUUCUGCUGUCUUGGAGAGCUCCGUUGUUCCGGAGUUUAGACUUUUGGUACAGAUCUUAUGAUAUAUAUAUAUAUAUAUAUAUAUAUAUAUAUAUAUAUAUAUAUAUAUAUAUAUGUGUGUAUGUUUAUCCAGGGGUACGACGGGGCCCUGUCCCGUCAUAUUUCGCUAUUCGCACUCUUAGAGGUCUGUAGACAUAUGUGUGGGUUGUGUAUGGGUUCUGUUCAGCUGUGUCUAUACGAUGUGCUGUGGUAUGAUGUUCAUCUCUAGUAGCAGCCUUGUGGGCUUGCAUACGAUAUUGAUAUGUGAUGGUAGCAUGCGAUA
Lycium barbarum (goji berry) is the source of this 938-nucleotide long non-coding RNA. RefSeq lists it as uncharacterized. The record is from RefSeq and is a predicted model, not a curated record. The transcript is spliced from 3 exons. Lineage: Eukaryota; Viridiplantae; Streptophyta; Magnoliopsida; Solanales; Solanaceae.